CACCGCCCGUCACACUAUAGGAGCUGGCCAUGUUUGAAGUCAUUACCCUUAACUGUAAGGAGGGGGAUGGCUAAGGCUAGGCUUGCGACUGGAGUGAAGUCGUAACAAGGUAGCCGUACUGGAAGGUGAGACUG
This 134-nucleotide non-coding RNA is filed under the name Brachypodium distachyon (stiff brome). RNAcentral describes it as "rRNA SSU_rRNA_eukarya". It matches the Rfam family "Bacterial small subunit ribosomal RNA", at positions 1388 to 1520 of the family's 1533-position model. Lineage: Eukaryota; Viridiplantae; Streptophyta; Magnoliopsida; Poales; Poaceae. The record is from Rfam by way of RNAcentral.